GAUGAACGCUGGCGGUGUGCCUAAUACAUGCAAGUCGAGCGACCACACGAUGAGCUCGCUCUCCUGACGUUAGCGGGGGGCGGGCGAGUAACACGUGCAUCAGAUUCUUCUAUGACUGGGAUGACUACGUGAGACCGGAUCUACUACUACAUCAUAUAUCGAACGGGAUGGUUCAAUAGAUAAUGGCGGCUUUGCUGUCACAUAUAGCUGGAUCCGCGCCGCAUUAGCUAGUUGGUAAGGUAACGGCUUACCAAGGCGACGAUGCGUAGCCGACCUGAGAGGAUGAUCGGCCACACUGGAACUGAGACACGGUCCAGACUCCUACGGGAGGCAGCAGUGGGGAAUAUUGCGCAAUGGGCGAAAGCCUGAUGCAGCCAUGCCGCGUGAGUGAUGAAGGCCUUCGGAUCGUAAAACUCUGUUAUUAGGGAAGAACAAAUGUGUGAGUAUCUCUGGCCGUCUUGACGGUACCUAAUCAGUAAGCCACGGCUAACUUCGUG
RNAcentral lists this ribosomal RNA (497 nucleotides) under uncultured bacterium. RNAcentral describes it as "partial 16S ribosomal RNA". It matches the Rfam family "Bacterial small subunit ribosomal RNA", at positions 28 to 507 of the family's 1533-position model. The record is from RNAcentral.